UACGUAGGAUGCAAGCGUUGUCCGGAUUUACUGGGCGUAAAGCGCGCGCAGGCGGCACUCUAAGUACGUCGUGAAAUAUCCCGGCUCAACCGGGAGGGUGCGAUGUAGACUAGGGAGCUAGAGGUCGGUAGAGGGGGGUGGAAUUGCUGGUGUAGCGGUGAAAUGCGUAGAUAUCAGGAGGAACACCUGUGGCGAAAGCGGCUCACUGGACCACAACUGACGCUGAUGCACGAAAGCUAGGGGAGCAAACAGG
This 253-nucleotide ribosomal RNA is filed under the name uncultured bacterium. Its description in RNAcentral is "partial 16S ribosomal RNA". It matches the Rfam family "Bacterial small subunit ribosomal RNA", at positions 524 to 776 of the family's 1533-position model. The record is from RNAcentral.